AGUGAACGCUGGCGGUAGGCCUAACACAUGCAAGUCGAACGGCAGCACAGUAAGAGCUUGCUCUUACGGGUGGCGAGUGGCGGACGGGUGAGGAAUACAUCGGAAUCUACUUUUUCGUGGGGGAUAACGUAGGGAAACUUACGCUAAUACCGCAUACGACCUACGGGUGAAAGCAGGGGAUCUUCGGACCUUGCGCGAUUGAAUGAGCCGAUGUCGGAUUAGCUAGUUGGCGGGGUAAAGGCCCACCAAGGCGACGAUCCGUAGCUGGUCUGAGAGGAUGAUCAGCCACACUGGAACUGAGACACGGUCCAGACUCCUACGGGAGGCAGCAGUGGGGAAUAUUGGACAAUGGGCGCAUGCCUGAUCCAGCCAUACCGCGUGGGUGAAGAAGGCCUUCGGGCUGUAAAGCCCUUUUGUUGGGAAAGAAAAGCAGCAGGUUAAUACCCCGCUGUUCUGACGGUACCCAAAGAAUAAGCACCGGCUAACUUCGUG
Molecule: ribosomal RNA, 492 nt
Filed under: uncultured bacterium
Lineage: Bacteria
Description: partial 16S ribosomal RNA
Rfam family: Bacterial small subunit ribosomal RNA
Source: RNAcentral